Salvia splendens (bonfire salvia) is the source of this 2268-nucleotide long non-coding RNA. RefSeq lists it as uncharacterized. The transcript is spliced from 2 exons. NCBI's taxonomy places the organism in Eukaryota, Viridiplantae, Streptophyta, Magnoliopsida, Lamiales, Lamiaceae. The record is from RefSeq and is a predicted model, not a curated record.
CCUAAUUCCAUUGCUUCCCCUCUUUUUAAGAACCGCCCUUUCUCCCUUCAUUCUCCAUCGCAGCUCUCUCCUCUUUCUCUCUAUCCUCUCCCCUAAACCCUCUCUCUCAAUAGUUUUCCAAUUCGAGCUUAAUUAUUAUGUCCAUUUGUUGGCAAGCAUAUAUCUGGAUCCAGAUCGCCUAGCUCAAUUCGCAUCUGGUUUGAUCAGUCAGCUCAAUUCGCAUCUGGUUUGAUUCGUUUUUUUUUCGUGUUUCAUAUUUUUGAAAAUCUAUCUUUGUUUUUGAAAAGUGAAGCUUGCGGUCUAUGAUGAUUUUAGUGGAAUUCAUUAAUGAUUAUUCAUUGAUUACGAACACACUACUGCCUUCCUUCUGAGGCUUGCUUCUUCCGAUUUGAAUUCAACUUUGUUGGCACUUGGCUCCGUUUUUGAAAAAUUUAUUUUGUUUUAUUGGUCAAGUGAUGAUUAGAUGCAUAGUUCAAAUGACUAAUCCCUGAUUAUAAUACUCUUUUAUCUUUCGCUCCUAUCUGAUGGCCUUUGAUCAAUGUUUUCUUAAACUAUUUUAUUGUUGUAAAUUUCUUCGUGGCCUGUGAUUAAAAUUCUUUUAUUGACAAGCAUAUGUCUGAAUACCAUGUGUAGACAUUCUAAUCUUCUCAAUGAGGCCACAUUUUUAUUUUUUUCAAUUCUUGAUUUUGCAAUAGAAAGAUAUGUUUUUUUAUUACCACUUUAUUAAAACGUUAUUCCAAACAAUUUUUGAGUGGAAAUUCAGGCAACCUCCUUCUGUCUUGAGAAAAGAAUGGGAAGGAAGGUGUUUAUCUGCUCAUAAAAAGAACUUUUGCUCUUCAGACUUGCUGAGUUUUUCCUUGAAGCUGGUCUAGUAAGCUCAAGAACAUUUCUUGUUUCUUAUCGAAUUCCUUGCUUUUUCUAAUUUUUGCUAAUAUAUUAGUUGUGGAUUGAAUCUUGUAGAAUAUGAUGACUGUUGCUUUAGUAUUUCUGACACCUCUUGUAUGAGAAGUGCCAUUAGUGGCCCUUCUGUGAGCACAAAAAACACCUAUCUGAACCUUGAUUAUCUUGUUAAAUAAUGUUAAUGAAAACCCAAUCUUGUUUUAAACAAAUCCCUAGUUUUGGACGUUAAUGGUAUCUUAUUUCUUGACUCCUUUUGGCUUCACUAUCUGGUUGUGGGAUUUAAUCUCAGUAUCCUACCAACUCGUUCCCUAGAAGCAAUAGUAGUUGUGUUGCUCUGUUUCAUCAAUCCAUCUUCUUGUUUUGGUUGUCGUUGGAGAUCAAUGGGGCAGCUACAUUUUCCAUUCACUUUUAAUUAAUAGUGUUAGUAAUGUAAUGGCGAUGAUGAACACUUUUUACAGUUUCACAGACCUGUAAUGAUUGCGGAUAUGAUCGCUUUUAUUGAACAUCUAAGGGACUGAGCCAUUUCUAACACUUUUCACAUUCUGAAAAUUUUUGUGCUUUACUUGGACGUUUUAUGUUGUCACACAUGAAACUAUAUAAUGUGGCAUUUGUUAUAAGUGAAGCUAUAUAAAUGUGUUCUCCUCGCUAUCCGGUUGGUGCUUCUGAUAGCUCAUUUGGACGUUGGUGAACUACCAUUUUUUUUAUCUUUUUCAUUUUAUCCCUUUUUAUUGAAAAAAAUUUGGGCAAUGAAGAAUUGCGAUUGGUCUCGUUCGUUGUAAUGGCAUGUUUCCAUGCCUUGCCGACCAUACUGAUAUAUCACCACCCAUAAACUGAGUCCUUUCAUUUCAAUAUUUCAAUUCUUUGUUUUUUGGAUCUUUUUUUCUGGUAAAUUUUCAAUGGUCAAGUGAUGAUUUGAUGCAUAGUUCAAAUGACUAAUCUAUGAUUAUAUAACUCUUUUAGUCUUUCGCUCCUAUCUGAUGACCUUUGAUCCAUAAUUUUGUUAAACUCAGUAUCCUAACAACUACAUUUUUUUCAUGUUAAUUCAUAUUCGGAUUAAAAUGGCGAUGAUGAACACUUCUUCAAAGUUUCACAGACCUGUAAUGAUUGCGCAUGUGAUGGCUUCUAUUGGACAUCCAUCUAAGGCAAGCGUCGGGAAGACAAAGUCAGAGGACUUCACAAUGUCGCGUCAUGACUUGCAAACACACUUGAUUUCAAUAUGGUUCGAACGGGGAGCCUUGAGAGGAUUUCGAUGGUGAGUUGAAUCGAUCUCGAUUCUUGAUUAUCAUGUUUUGGAGUAUGUAAUUGAAGAAUGCAUUCGGGCUAUAUGAGUUGAAUUUACCUAAUGCGUUAUUAAUUUGGUUAAGUAAA